AACAUUUGUGUCUGUUUUAAUCUAACUUGAAGACAAAAAUUUAUGGGCAGGUACAAAACGUAAAUUCUCUUUUGUAACUCCUGGAACCCAGAGCUCAUUAUUCUGUACGAGUUUUCAUGUGUAUGAAAAGGAAUAUU
This is a small nucleolar RNA of Cavia porcellus (domestic guinea pig), 137 nucleotides long. It matches the Rfam family "Small nucleolar RNA SNORA40". Rfam says of the family: The snoRNA ACA 40 belongs to the H/ACA family of snoRNAs and guides the pseudouridylation of 28S rRNA subunit at position U4565. NB This family has a high threshold value to exclude a large number of closely related sequences that do not appear to have conserved H and ACA boxes, and may be pseudogenes. The record is from Rfam. NCBI's taxonomy places the organism in Eukaryota, Metazoa, Chordata, Mammalia, Rodentia, Caviidae.